This 257-nucleotide ribosomal RNA is filed under the name uncultured bacterium. RNAcentral's name for it is "partial 16S ribosomal RNA". It matches the Rfam family "Bacterial small subunit ribosomal RNA", at positions 524 to 776 of the family's 1533-position model. The record is from RNAcentral.
UACGUAGGCAGCAAGCGUUUGUUCGGAGUUACUGGGCGUAAAGAGUAUGUAGGCGGUUUGCGUAAGUUCGGUGUGAAAUCUCCCGGCUUAACUGGGAGGGUGCGCCGAAAACUGCGUGGCUUGAGUGCGGGAGAGGAGAGCGGAAUUCCUGGUGUAGCGGUGAAAUGCGUAGAUAUCGGGGAGGAACACCUGUGGCGAAAAGCGGCUCACUGGACCACAACUGACGCUGAGGCGCGAAAGCUAGGGGAGCAAACAGG